GACCGCGACCGCAGCGGUGACAACGAGGGGACAACGUCCCUCCUCCUCGUCCCCCAGCCCGGUCCCGGCGCAGCAGCGGCGGCGGCGGCGGCGCCGGCAGGGCCCGUUACUGCGGCGCCUGCGGCAGUUCGUCAUGCCCCUCGUUAGCGCCCGCUCCUCCCGCCCCAUCCGGCCCCCCCGGCGCUUCGCGGCCGAAGGGGACACCUUGGGGACACGGCCGCCGGGCGGGGACGGGCCCACGGCCACCGGGGACGAGGCGGCGGGCGGCGGUGACGAGGCGGCGGUCAUCGGGGACGAGAUGACGAAGCCUGGGGACGGCCCGAUGACCCUUGGGGACGGCCCGAUGACCCUUGGGGACAUCCCAGUGACCCUUGGGGACAUCCCAGUGACCCUUGGGGACGUCCCGAUGACCCUCGAUGAUGUCCCGAUGACCCUUGGAGACAAGCCAGUGACCCUUGAUGACAUCCCAGCGCCCCUCGAUGGCAUCUCGAUGGCCCUUGGUGACAAACCGGCGACCCUCGUUGACGUCCCCGCGACCCUCGUUGACGUCCCCAUGACCCUCGAUGACAUCCCGAUGACCCUCGGUGACAUCCCCAUGACCCUCGAUGACAUCCCCAUGACUCUUGACAAGCCAGCGACCCUCGGUGACAUCCCAGCGACCCUCGGUGACAACCCAACGCCCUUCGGUGACAACCCCACGACCCUCGGUGACAUUCCAGUGCCCCUCGGUGUCAACCCAACGCCCGUCAGUGACACCCCAAAGACCCUUGGUGACAACCCAGCGCCCCUUGGUGGCAUCCCAGCGCCCCUCGGGGACAACCCAACGACCCUCGGGGACAACCCAACGCCACCCGGUGACACCAAGCCACCCCCAGGUGACACCAGGCCACCCUCAGGUGACAACCCCGCGCCACCGCGGGCCGGUGACAAAGGGACGUCCUCCGGGCGCCGCUGGCCGCCGGCCUCCUCUUCCUCGCCGCCUUCCUCCUCCUCGCCACCGUCCCCGGCGGUGGCACCGGUGGCCGUCCCCCGCCGGGCCAUCCUGCGCGAGGCCACCUUCCGCUGGACCUCGCUGCGGCGCGACGGGGACGCCGCGGGGACGCUCAGGGACCCUCAAGUGGCGCUUGGGGACACCACGGGGACACCUGGGAACCCCACGGUGGCAUCUGGGGACGCCACGGGGACGCUUGGGGACACCACAGUGGCGCCUGGGAACCCCGCGGUGACACUUGGGAACCCCGCGGUGGCGU
This 1250-nucleotide long non-coding RNA is filed under the name Anser brachyrhynchus (Pink-footed goose). RNAcentral's name for it is "lncRNA (ENSABRG00000007321.1)". The record is from RNAcentral. Lineage: Eukaryota; Metazoa; Chordata; Aves; Anseriformes; Anatidae.